AUUGAACGCUGGCGGCAUGCCUAACACAUGCAAGUCGAGCGGUUGAAGGGAGCUUGCUCCUUGAUUCAGCGGCGGACGGGUGAGUAAUGCCUAGGAAUCUCCCUGCCAGUGGUGGAUAACGUCCGGUAACGGCCGCUAAUACCGCCUACGUCCUGAGGGAGCUACUUGGGUAUCUUCUGACCUCACUUUAUCAGCUGAGCCUAGGUCGGAUCAGCUAGUUGGUGGGGUAAAGGCCUACCAAGGCGACGAUCCGUAACUGGUCUGAGUGGAUGAUCAGGCACACUGGAACUGAGACACGGUCAAGACGACUAAGAGAGGCAGCAGUGGGGAAUAUUAGGCAAUAGGCGAAAGCCUGAUACAGCGAUGCAGCGUGUGAGAAGAAGGUCUUCGGAUAGUAAAGCACGUUUAGGUGGGAGGAAGGGCAGUAAGUUAAUAACUAGCUGAUGUGACGGUACCAACAGAAUAAGCACCGGCUAACUACGUG
This 484-nucleotide ribosomal RNA is filed under the name uncultured bacterium. RNAcentral's name for it is "partial 16S ribosomal RNA". It matches the Rfam family "Bacterial small subunit ribosomal RNA", at positions 30 to 507 of the family's 1533-position model. The record is from RNAcentral.